CUCCCUGGGCCCCGGUCCUGCUGCUGGCGCUCGGGCUGCGCGGCCUCCAGGCGGGGACCCGCAGGGCCCUGGACCCCGGCUUCCAGGAGCGCUUCUUCCAGCAGCGUCUGGACCACUUCAACUUCGAGCGCUUCGGCAACAAGACCUUCCCCCAGCGCUUCCUGGUGUCGGGUGAGACCCCGACCCCGGCCCGGCCGCCCCUGCCGUCCCGCCGCCCCCCAGCACCGUCGCCUCAUGCGCCCUCCCCACAGACAGGUUCUGGAUCCGGGGCGAGGGGCCCAUCUUCUUCUACACUGGGAACGAGGGCGACGUGUGGGCCUUCGCCAACAACUCGGGCUUCGUCGCGGAGCUGGCGGCCGAGCAGGGGGCUCUACUGGUCUUCGCGGAGCACCGCUACUACGGGAAGUCGCUGCCGUUCGGUGCGCAGUCCACGCGGCGCGGGCACACGGAGCUGCUGACGGUGGAGCAGGCCCUGGCCGACUUCGCAGAGCUGCUCCGCGCGCUACGGCGCGACCUCGGGGCCCAGGAUGCCCCCGCCAUCGCCUUCGGUGGAAGUUAUGGGGGGAUGCUCAGCGCCUACCUGAGGAUGAAGUAUCCCCACCUGGUGGCGGGGGCGCU
RNAcentral lists this small RNA (618 nucleotides) under Pongo abelii (Sumatran orangutan). RNAcentral describes it as "retained intron". The record is from RNAcentral. Lineage: Eukaryota; Metazoa; Chordata; Mammalia; Primates; Hominidae.